GACGAACGCUGGCGGCGUGCUUAACACAUGCAAGUCGAACGAUGAAGCUGGAGCUUGCUCCGGUGGAUUAGUGGCGAACGGGUGAGUAACACGUGAGCAAUCUGCCCUUGACUCUGGGAUAACUGCGGGAAACUGUAGCUAAUACCGGAUAUGAGGCUUGGAGGCAUCUCCAGGUCUGGAAAGAAUUUCGGUCAAGGAUGAGCUCGCGGCCUAUCAGCUAGUUGGUGAGGUAAUGGCUCACCAAGGCGACGACGGGUAGCCGGCCUGAGAGGGUGACCGGCCACACUGGGACUGAGACACGGCCCAGACUCCUACGGGAGGCAGCAGUGGGGAAUAUUGCACAAUGGGCGAAAGCCUGAUGCCGCAACGCCGCGUGAGGGAUGAAGGCCUUCGGGUUGUAAACCUCUUUUAGCAGGGAAGAAGCGAAAGUGACGGUACCUGCAGAAAAAGCACCGGCUAACUACGUGCCAGCAGCCGCCGUAA
This 483-nucleotide ribosomal RNA is filed under the name uncultured bacterium. RNAcentral's name for it is "partial 16S ribosomal RNA". It matches the Rfam family "Bacterial small subunit ribosomal RNA", at positions 28 to 523 of the family's 1533-position model. The record is from RNAcentral.